AGUGAACGCUGGCGGUAGGCCUAACACAUGUAAGUCGAACGGCAGCACAGUAAGAGCUUGCUCUUACGGGUGGCGAGUGGCGGACGGGUGAGGAAUACAUCGGAAUCUACUUUUUCGUGGGGGAUAACGUAGGGAAACUUACGCUAAUACCGCAUACGACCUACGGGUGAAAGCAGGGGAUCUUCGGACCUUUCGCGAUUGAAUGAGCCGAUGUCGGAUUAGCUAGUUGGCGGGGUAAAGGCUCACCAAGGCGACGAUCCGUAGCUGGUCUGAGAGGAUGAUCAGCCACACUGGAACUGAGACACGGUCCAGACUCCUACGGGAGGCAGCAGUGGGGAAUAUUGGACAAUGGGCGCAAGCCUGAUCCAGCCAUACCGCGUGGGUGAAGAAGGCCUUCGGGUUGUAAAGCCCUUUUGUUGGGAAAGAAAAGCAGCAGGUUAAUACCCCGCUGUUCUGACGGUACCCAAAGAAUAAGCACCGGCUAACUUCGUG
Molecule: ribosomal RNA, 492 nt
Filed under: uncultured bacterium
Lineage: Bacteria
Description: partial 16S ribosomal RNA
Rfam family: Bacterial small subunit ribosomal RNA
Source: RNAcentral